This 73-nucleotide transfer RNA is filed under the name Dictyocaulus viviparus (bovine lungworm). It matches the Rfam family "tRNA". Rfam says of the family: Transfer RNA (tRNA) molecules are approximately 80 nucleotides in length. The record is from Rfam by way of RNAcentral. Lineage: Eukaryota; Metazoa; Nematoda; Chromadorea; Rhabditida; Metastrongylidae.
ACCUCGGUAGUGUAAUGGAUCAGCACGGCAGACCGGAUACCUGUAAGUGCAGGUUCAAAGCCCGCCUGAGGUU